Molecule: unclassified non-coding RNA, 3293 nt
Filed under: Hevea brasiliensis (rubber tree)
Lineage: Eukaryota; Viridiplantae; Streptophyta; Magnoliopsida; Malpighiales; Euphorbiaceae
Source: RNAcentral
ACCACCACCACCACCACCACCGUGUCUGAAGCUUCCAUCUCUCCAGAUAGAGCCCUUACACGAAAAACAAGUGUGUUGGUUGAAAAACGCAGAAGUUCCUAGCAAUAUAGCUUUGUGUUUGGUUUGAAAGAGAGUUGCAGAGCCCAAGAGAGAAAAAGAAACUUUAGACCCAACAUUGACAGGGCAAGUAUGGAAGACACUCCAGUAAUCAAAGCUCAUGAUGAAACCAAAGCAACAGUCCUUUCACCAAACUAAAAUCUUCUACAGCAAAGAUUUCCAAAACCUAAAAAGAAAAGAAAGUUUCUUUUGCUUUCUAAAAGCAUUUUACUUUCCCUUUCGUCUCCAAAUCAAGAAGAGCAACGCUUGAUCUACCAGAGAGGGAGAGCUAAGAUCAGGAAAAUGGGUUGCUGUUAUUCAAGAUUAGAGAGAGAAGAAAUGGUUUCCAGAUGCAAGGCAAGAAAAAGGUACAUGAAGCAGUUGGUUAAUGCUAGGCAAGCGGUCUCUGCUUCACACGCCAUGUACCUUCGUUCACUGCGUGCUACUGGUUCAGCGAUUCUUCAGUUCUCCAGCACAGAAGCCAAUCUCCACCUCCAUCAACACCGCCACCACCAACAUCAUAUCCCACCUGUCUUACCCUCACCACCUCCUUUACCACCCACACCGCCGCCACCUCCACCAAUGAGCCCCAGCUCCGACACAUGGACGUCCAUAACCGCCUCUCCAGGUCUUCCCCCUCCUCCUCCGCCACCACCGCCUCAGUCUUCAAGCUGGGACUUCUGGGAUCCUUUUGUCCCGCCCCCUCCUAUGACGUCACGGUCAGUAACUGAGGAGGAGUGGGAAGAGGUGACAACCACGACGGCGUCUGAAGUGGCGGUCACGGCGACAGGGACGGCAGCCAGCCUAACGGCCCCGCCAUCGGUAAUUAGUGGGUUCUCGAAGGAAAAUGGUAGUGGGAGCGGGAGUGAGCUUGCUAUGGUGGUUUCGAGGAAUAGCAAGGAUCUGGUGGAGAUUGCGAAGGAAGUUGAUGAAUAUUUUCUCAAGGCUGCUGAUGCUGGUAGACAGCUUUCUUUGCUUUUAGAAGUUCCAAACCCUAACUUCUCUGCUCAAAACAAAGGAGGUAAAGUUUAUGACCAUGGAUGCAAUUUGACAAAUCCAUCAUUAUGGACAUGGGGUUCAAGUCCAAAAAUGAAUGGGUUUGGAAAGAUGGGGGAGGAAAUGGUUGGAAACUCUUUAGGAAUUAGCCACUGUUCCAUUGUAGAGAGGCUGUAUGCCUGGGAGAAGAAAUUAUUCCAGGAGGUCAAGAAUGCUGAGAGCAUAAAAGUUGAGCAUGAGAAGAAGGUGGCAUUGCUGAGGAAGCUAGAAGUAAAGAGGGCUGACUAUGUAAAGACUGAGAAGACAAAGAAAGAGGUGGAAAAAUUGGAGUCACUAAUGAUGGUUGCUACACAGGCCAUUGAGACUACGUCUGCUGAAAUCAUCAAAUUGAGGGAGACACAGCUCUACCCUCAACUUCUUGAGCUUGUAAAAGGGUUAGUCGGUAGUCUUCUUAAUUUCUUGUACUUGCUUUCUGUAAUUGAUCCUACUGGGUACUUGCAUUUUAGGGACACAUUAAUUAGUGGACAAAUUGAUAUGGACCACUCCAAGCCACACUCUUGGAUUGCCUUGUAGUGCAUUUUAGCCGUUGCAAAGAUUCUAAGGGACAGCAGUGUUUUCUGCAAUUGCCAAUUGGCAUUUGGUAGUUGUUGUUUCAGCAGUGAGUACCGAGUGGAGACCAAAGGAAAAUUUCUUGAGAGAAGAGAGAGAAAGAGAGAGCGUUAAAAUAUGGAUUUUUUUUUGGGACCUGAAGGAUUUGCCCUGGUGUAUAUGUUACUGUACAGAAGAUUGCUUUUGACUGCUUUUUAGUUUUUUAUUGGCUUGUUUUUCACUGCCUUUGUUUGCUUUUAGUUCAAAGAUUACAGUGACCCAACUGUUCUAUGUACGAUCAUUUGAGGGCUAUGGCUUCAGUUUAGUCCAGUGAAUCUUUCUUUGCCUUCAUACUUGAACUUUUGUUGGUCCAUUGUCUUCCUCAAGGAGACAAUCUUGUGGCUAUACGUACCAUAUUUUGAGUGGGGUCACCAGAGUCAAAUCUUGGCUAUAAGGUGAUUGCAAUAUCAGGAAAAUUUUAUUUCUAUCAUUUAACUUAGGAAAUUAUAAAGCAUGUUUAUUUCUAAAUUGGGAGAAAUUAUUCCAUGCAAGACUUGAGGGAUAUGUGCAGUCGUUGCUUCUUAUUUGCUGCUUCUACUUCCACCUCGCAGAUUGAUGUGCAUGUGGAGAAGCAUGUACGAGGCUCAUCAGGUUCAAACGCACAUAGUUCAGCAGCUCAAAUACCUGAACACCAUCCCGUCUACCGAACCCACAUCUGAGAUUCACAGACAAUCCACUCUCCAGCUGGAACUUGAAGUUCAGCAAUGGCACCAGUCCUUCUGCAACCUAGUGAAGGCACAGCAGGAUUACAUCCAGUCCCUAACGGGCUGGCUCCGGCUUAGUCUUUUCCAGUUCAGCACAAACCCACUUUCCAGAACCAAUCAAGAAUCUCGAAUUUACACUAUUUGUGAGGAAUGGCACCAUGCGAUUGAUCGGAUUCCAGACAAAGUAGCGUCUGAAGGAAUUAAGAGCUUUUUAACAGUUAUUCAUGCCAUAGUUGUUCAACAAGCAGAAGAGCAUAAGCAAAAGAAGAGGUCAGAUACAGCAUUCAAGGAGUUUGAGAAGAAGGCUGCUGAACUUAGAUCACUGGAAAGCAAGUAUGGCCCAUACUCAAUGCUUGAAACAACUGGCAACACAAGAAGCAAGGAUCCAGUAGCAGAGAAGCGAGCUAAGGUUGAGAUUUUGAGAGCAAAAGCAGAGGAGGAGAAAAGUAAGCAUGAAAAAUCGGUGAGCAUAACGAGAGCAAUGACCCUGAAUAAUCUGCAAAUGGGAUUCCCACAUGUCUUUCAGGCGAUAGUGGGAUUUUCAAGUGUAUGUAUGCAUGCAUUCGAGUCUGUAUACAACCAAGCGAAAAAUACGCAACAGGGAGAUGAUGUGAAGAGAAUAUUACCCUAAGAGGAGAUCUAGAUUUGGCUGAAAGAGGGUUUUCUGUAUAUAUAUAGAUAGCAUCUCAUUCUGUAGCUGGAUUGAAUCAUGCAGAAGUGUUGCAGGAACCUCCUAGGUUCAAUUUGGAAAUUAUGUCGGUAUGGAGCAACAAUAGUGGGGGCACAUAGAAGAAUUGAUAGCACUUUGGCAGUGUGAUGGUGGGGGGCACAUAGAAGAAUUGAUAGCAC